UUCCAGAAUACCGUUGCACUCGCCGUAUCUUGUCCUAGAUGAACAAGUUCUUCCACUUGGAGCUGCUCUUCAUGCAGCAGUUGCAAUUUCUUACUUGGAUCAACACUAUUCAGCUCAUGUAUCCAGUAAUUUAAGAGUGUAGGACUUAGGAGAAUGGUAUUUGCCACAUUUCUUUGUUUCAUUAAUGGGGGAUUUCAAACAACAAUGAUGUCAG
This 214-nucleotide unclassified non-coding RNA is filed under the name Hevea brasiliensis (rubber tree). The record is from RNAcentral. Lineage: Eukaryota; Viridiplantae; Streptophyta; Magnoliopsida; Malpighiales; Euphorbiaceae.